AUAAUUGAUAAUUGUCUUGAACUCUGAAUUCCGAACGCCCGAGAGGUGGGCUAUAAUUAGAACUUGGAAAGAAUAUUUGGAUUAGCCGACUCAAGCUAACUGCUGCAGCUGAACUGUUUUCGGGAAUCAUCGUUAUCAGAUUUUUGUAACUUUUAAAGGUCAACAGGUCCAUUGAUUAUAAACGCCGAGUAAUAAAAAGUCGAUAGCAAAACCCGAUUCGUUUGCUGCCGCGUCCAAACAUUGCCUGUAUCUAUUUGCGAAUCGUUUUUAUUGCUUACGGCCUGCGGGUUUGUCCGAACCGAAAUAGAGCCGAAUCCACCAUCAUAGAUCACCGGUCCCCGUGAUCUACAUAGUCAGAGUUCUGUCAAGUGCUAAUGCUAUUACACGUCGUCGAUUCUGCAAAAAUGGAUAACUAUAAGUGUUCACUGUCUGUUGUCGACGUCUAUGAUAUGGCACAGGACAUCGGUCGAGAGUUCGAGGCAAUUAUAGACGCGUAUGGCACUGAUGCUAUAACUGGACUGAUGCCCAAGGUGGUAUCCGCCCUAGAGCAGAUGGAAUUAUUGGCUAUGAAGAACGAACGAGAAAACACUACUGUGGACGACUUGCGAUCAACGAUACAACAAUUGGAAAUGGAUAAACAGGAACGGACCGAGGACAGGAUGAAAUAUGAGAAGGAGAUGGAACAAAUUGAAGAUAAGUGGCGCGAAGACUAUAACGAAUUGUUGACUACUGUUUCCAGACUUCAAGAUGAUAAUCGUAAAUUGACUGAGUCUUUGCAAGCUGCCGAAAAGGAUAAGAUUGUUGAUUCAAAAUCACAAGUUUUAAGUCCAGAUGUUGAUACUGUUGCUCUUCAACGUCUACGCCAUACUGUUGAUCAAAUGCGUGAUAGUAUUAGAAGCUAUGAACAUCAAUUAAAUUCAAAGAGUAAUGAAGUAGAUUCUUUGACCGUUCAAAUGGAUAGGCUACAAACUACUUUGAAAGACUUACGACGCAAGCAUCGUUUUGCACAGCUACAAUGUCGUAGUUUAGUUGAAGAAAGGGCAGAUAUUCUUUCUCAACUUGUAAAGCAACAAAAAGAAUUUAUAUCACUUAGACAAAGGUUUGGUAUUGCUCAAAAAGAAAAUGAAGACCUUUCAAAAUAUAGAGAUGAUUUGCCUGAUUUGAAAAAUAAAGCCAUUUAUGAUUUAGACGAUCCAGAUAGACCAAAGUUUACAACCAAUGAACUGAAAGAUAUUUUGACUGAACGUAAUGAACUAAAAUCUCGUGUUAAUGAUCUUGAAGAUGAACUUUCACAGUUUAAGCCUGUUGAACAGUUGACAAUAUCCCAGGAAAGAGAUGAAAUCCAAGAAACGCGGGUACGAAGAAUUUUGUUACGAAACUGUACCACCAGAACUGACGGUCACCGAAAAAAUCUUGACACCACUCCGGUCAAUAAGGAAGGCUCGCAAGUGUCAAUCAUCACCCCAGAAAGUUCACCAGAUGUAAUAUCCCCUACCAGUUGCUAUUUUACAAUUAUUGCUGUGGUAAAAUUUUUUUAUUUCAUAACUGCAUGGUGGUAGAAUAUUGAUUAAUUCAUUUUUCUCAAAGACAAAAACAACAACUUCAAUAUGCAAGACUAAAUUGACUAUAUAAAUACUGAAAAAAAAUGUUUCAAUAUCUGAAAGUCCGAUGAUGAACAGGAAGAAGGCCCUGUUCAAGGACCAUUACCUUUAGAACCUGAUGAUGCACCAUGGAAACGAAACCCAGAAUCUGGCAUUCGUAAACUUUUUCGUAAGAUGUUUGCUGA
RNAcentral lists this unclassified non-coding RNA (1786 nucleotides) under Rhopalosiphum maidis (corn leaf aphid). Its description in RNAcentral is "rILP-like protein homolog, transcript variant X2". Lineage: Eukaryota; Metazoa; Arthropoda; Insecta; Hemiptera; Aphididae. The record is from RNAcentral.